This 442-nucleotide ribosomal RNA is filed under the name uncultured bacterium. RNAcentral's name for it is "partial 16S ribosomal RNA". It matches the Rfam family "Bacterial small subunit ribosomal RNA", at positions 338 to 795 of the family's 1533-position model. The record is from RNAcentral.
CCUACGGGGGACUGCAGUGGGGGAUAUUGCACAAUGGGGGAAACCCUGAUGCAGCGACGCCGCGUGGGCGAAGAAGUAUUUCGGUAUGUAAAGCCCUAUCAGCAGGGAAGAAGAAAUGACGGUACCUGAGUAAGAAGCACCGGCUAAAUACGUGCCAGCAGCCGCGGUAAUACGUAUGGUGCAAGCGUUAUCCGGAUUUACUGGGUGUAAAGGGAGCGCAGGCGGCACGGCAAGCCUGAUGGGAAAGCCCGGGGCCCAACCGCGGGACUGCAUUGGGAACUACCGGGCUGGAGUGCCGGAGAGGUAGGCGGAAUUCCUAGUGUAGCGGUGAAAUGCGUAGAUAUUAGGAGGAACACCAGUGGCGAAGGCGGCCUACUGGACGGUGACUGACGCUGAGGCUCGAAAGCGUGGGGAGCAAACAGGAUUAGAUACCCGAGUAGUC